AGUGAACGCUGGCGGUAGGCCUAACACAUGCAAGUCGAACGGCAGCACAGUAAGAGCUUGCUCUUACGGGUGGCGAGUGGCGGACGGGUGAGGAAUACAUCGGAAUCUACUUUUUCGUGGGGGAUAACGUAGGGAAACUUACGCUAAUACCGCAUACGACCUACGGGUGGAAGCAGGGGAUCUUCGGACCUUGCGCGAUUGAAUGAGCCGAUGUCGGAUUAGCUAGUUGGUGGGGUAAAGGCCCACCAAGGCGACGAUCCGUAGCUGGUCUGAGAGGAUGAUCAGCCACACUGGAACUGAGACACGGUCCAGACUCCUACGGGAGGCAGCAGUGGGGAAUAUUGGACAAUGGGCGCAAGCCUGAUCCAGCCAUACCGCGUGGGUGAAGAAGGCCUUCGGGUUGUAAAGCCCUUUUGUUGGGAAAGAAAAGCAGCAGGUUAAUACCCCGCUGUUCUGACGGUACCCAAAGAAUAAGCACCGGCUAACUUCGUG
This 492-nucleotide ribosomal RNA is filed under the name uncultured bacterium. RNAcentral's name for it is "partial 16S ribosomal RNA". It matches the Rfam family "Bacterial small subunit ribosomal RNA", at positions 29 to 507 of the family's 1533-position model. The record is from RNAcentral.